AACGAUGACUCUGUGCUUGCACAGAUGAUUAGUGGCGAACGGGUGAGUAACACGUGAGUAACCUGCCCUUGACUCUGGGAUAAGCCUGGGAAACUGGGUCUAAUACUGGAUAUGCACCGUGGACCGCAUGGUUCUUGGUGGAAAGAUUUUAUUGGUCAAGGAUGGACUCGCGGCCUAUCAGCUUGUUGGUGAGGUAAUGGCUCACCAAGGCGACGACGGGUAGCCGGCCUGAGAGGGUGACCGGCCACACUGGGACUGAGACACGGCCCAGACUCCUACGGGAGGCAGCAGUGGGGAAUAUUGCACAAUGGGC
RNAcentral lists this ribosomal RNA (313 nucleotides) under Paeniglutamicibacter sp. Its description in RNAcentral is "bacterial SSU rRNA". It matches the Rfam family "Bacterial small subunit ribosomal RNA", at positions 65 to 376 of the family's 1533-position model. Lineage: Bacteria; Bacillati; Actinomycetota; Actinomycetes; Micrococcales; Micrococcaceae. The record is from RNAcentral.